Molecule: long non-coding RNA, 419 nt
Organism: Ixodes scapularis (black-legged tick)
Lineage: Eukaryota; Metazoa; Arthropoda; Arachnida; Ixodida; Ixodidae
Exons: 2
Source: RefSeq, a predicted model, not a curated record
GCACACUGUGCAACAUACGUAUUAUCCCCAUUUCAUUGGUGCCACGAGGAAGGGGGGUCCUAUACAGUACCACUCUGAAUUUAGCCUGCUUGUUUUUCCACCCCUUUCAGGUGGCAGUUGCACUGAUCUUCCCAACAUUGCCCCCUGGCUGGCAUGACUGGCAGAGCAGCAAGGAUGGCUCAUUCUCCCUAGCUGGCAGUCGCACUGAUCUUCUCAACAUUGUCCCCUGGCUGGUAUGACUGGCAGAGCAGCAAGGAUGGCUCGUUUUCCCUAGAUUACGUGAUGCUGCGCACAUAGUGAUGAUUUCAACUACCCAACGAGGCAUAGGGAUUGUCUUUUUCUUUCAGCAGUGUUGCGAGUCUUUAUUUGGGCGGUGUUGUACCUGAAUGAGUUAAUAAAUGUUACGAGUCAGAGAGACA